This 465-nucleotide ribosomal RNA is filed under the name uncultured bacterium. Its description in RNAcentral is "partial 16S ribosomal RNA". It matches the Rfam family "Bacterial small subunit ribosomal RNA", at positions 28 to 507 of the family's 1533-position model. The record is from RNAcentral.
GACGAACGCUGGCGGCGUGCUUAACACAUGCAAGUCGUACGGUAAGGCCCUUUCGGGGGUACACGAGUGGCGCACGGGUGAGUAACACGUGAGUAACCUGCCCACAACUUUGGGAUAACGCUAGGAAACUGGUGCUAAUACUGGAUAUGUGCUCCUGCUGCAUGGUGGGGGUUGGAAAGCUCCGGCGGUUGUGGAUGGACUCGCGGCCUAUCAGCUUGUUGGUGGGGUAGUGGCCUACCAAGGCGGCGACGGGUAGCCGGCCUGAGAGGGUGACCGGCCACAUUGGGACUGAGAUACGGCCCAGACUCCUACGGGAGGCAGCAGUGGGGAAUAUUGCACAAUGGGCGCAAGCCUGAUGCAGCAACGCCGCGUGCGGGAUGACGGCCUUCGGGUUGUAAACCGCCUUCAGCAGGGACGAAGCUUUUUGUGACGGUACCUGCAGAAGAAGCACCGGCUAACUACGUG